GUGCUCACUGUGGCAGCACAUGUAUGAAAACUGGAAUGGCACAGAGAAGAUCAGCGUCAUUGCUGCACAAGGGUGGCAUGAAAAUUCGUGAAGUGUUCCAUAUUUUU
Small nuclear RNA from Oryctolagus cuniculus (rabbit), 107 nucleotides. Lineage: Eukaryota; Metazoa; Chordata; Mammalia; Lagomorpha; Leporidae. The record is from Ensembl.